This 253-nucleotide ribosomal RNA is filed under the name uncultured bacterium. Its description in RNAcentral is "partial 16S ribosomal RNA". It matches the Rfam family "Bacterial small subunit ribosomal RNA", at positions 524 to 776 of the family's 1533-position model. The record is from RNAcentral.
UACGUAGGUGGCAAGCGUUGUCCGGAUUUACUGGGUGUAAAGGGCGUGCAGCCGGGCUGACAAGUCAGAUGUGAAAUCCCGCGGCUCAACCGCGGGACUGCAUUUGAAACUGUCAGUCUUGAGUACCGGAGAGGUCAUCGGAAUUCCUUGUGUAGCGGUGAAAUGCGUAGAUAUAAGGAAGAACACCAGUGGCGAAGGCGGAUGACUGGACGGCAACUGACGGUGAGGCGCGAAAGCGUGGGGAGCAAACAGG